CUUGUACUGGGAUGUACGAGGAGAAAGGAUUUAUUCGCUGAGGGAUGGGCCUGCGGCCUAUCAGGUAGUUGGUGGGGUAAAGGCCUACCAAGCCUGCGACGGGUAGCCGGACUGAGAGGUCGACCGGCCACACUGGAACUGAGACACGGUCCAGACUCCUACGGGAGGCAGCAGUGGGGAAUAUUGCACAAUGGGGGAAACCCUGAUGCAGCGACGCCGCGUGGAGGAUGACGGCCUUCGGGUUGUAAACUCCUUUUGUCAGGGACAAUGGUGAUGGUACCUGACGAAUAAGCCACGGCUAACUCUGUGCCAGCAGCCGCGGUAAGACAGAGGUGGCGAGCGUUGUUCGGAAUUACUGGGCUUAAAGGGCGCGUAGGCGGUGGUGUAAGUCUGGGGUGGAAUGCUACAGCUCAACUGUAGAGCUGCCUUGGAAACUGCAUUACUUGAGUCGGUGAGGGGAAGGCGGAAUUCCUGGUGUAGCGGUGAAAUGCGUAGAUAUCAGGAGGAAGGUCUGUGGCGAAGGCGGCCUUCUGGCACUUGACUGACGCUGAGGCGCGAAAGCGUGGGGAGCAAACAGGAUUAGAUACCCUGGUAGUCCACGCCCUAAACGGUGGGUAUUAGGUGUGGGGCCUUCAUGGGUUCCGUGCCGUAGCGAAAGCA
RNAcentral lists this ribosomal RNA (660 nucleotides) under uncultured bacterium. RNAcentral's name for it is "bacterial SSU rRNA". It matches the Rfam family "Bacterial small subunit ribosomal RNA", at positions 180 to 859 of the family's 1533-position model. The record is from RNAcentral.